GUCCGGUCCUCGAGCGUAUGGGGCUUUGUCACCCGCUCUUGUAGGCCCGGCCGGCGCCAGCCGACCCCCUCAAUCUAUUUUUUCAGGUUGACCUCGGAUCAGGUAGGGAUACCCGCUGAACUUAAGCAUAUCAAUAAGCGGAGGAAAAGAAACCAACCGGGAUUGCCCUAGUAACGGCGAGUGAAGCGGCAAGAGCUCAAAUUUGAAAGCUGGCUCCUUCGGGGUCCGCAUUGUAAUUUGCAGAGGAUGCUUCGGGAGCGGUCCCCAUCUAAGUGCCCUGGAACGGGCCGUCAUAGAGGGUGAGAAUCCCGUAUGGGAUGGGGUGCCCGCGCCCGUGUGAAGCUCCUUCGACGAGUCGAGUUGUUUGGGAAUGCAGCUCUAAUUGGGUGGUAAAUUUCAUCUAAAGCUAAAUAUUGGCCGGAGACCGAUAGCGCACAAGUAGAGUGAUCGAAAGAUGAAAAGCACUUUGAAAAGAGAGUUAAACAGCACGUGAAAUUGUUGAAAGGGAAGCGCUUGCGAUC
RNAcentral lists this ribosomal RNA (521 nucleotides) under Penicillium decaturense. RNAcentral's name for it is "eukaryotic LSU rRNA". The stretch from base 89 to 521 matches the Rfam family "Eukaryotic large subunit ribosomal RNA", at positions 1 to 430 of the family's 3401-position model. Lineage: Eukaryota; Fungi; Ascomycota; Eurotiomycetes; Eurotiales; Aspergillaceae. The record is from RNAcentral.